Molecule: ribosomal RNA, 505 nt
Filed under: uncultured bacterium
Lineage: Bacteria
Description: bacterial SSU rRNA
Rfam family: Bacterial small subunit ribosomal RNA
Source: RNAcentral
CUACGUGCCAGCAGCCGCGGUAAUACGGAAGGUUCGGGCGUUAUCCGGAUUUAUUGGGUUUAAAGGGAGCGUAGGCCGGAGAUUAAGUGUGUUGUGAAAUGUAGACGCUCAACGUCUGAAUUGCAGCGCAUACUGGUUUCCUUGAGUACGCACAACGUUGGCGGAAUUCGUCGUGUAGCGGUGAAAUGCUUAGAUAUGACGAAGAACUCCGAUUGCGAAGGCAGCUGACGGGAGCGCAACUGACGCUUAAGCUCGAAGGUGCGGGUAUCGAACAGGAUUAGAUACCCUGGUAGUCCGCACAGUAAACGAUGGAUGCCCGCUGUUGGUACCUGGUAUCAGCGGCUAAGCGAAAGCAUUAAGCAUCCCACCUGGGGAGUACGCCGGCAACGGUGAAACUCAAAGGAAUUGACGGGGGCCCGCACAAGCGGAGGAACAUGUGGUUUAAUUCGAUGAUACGCGAGGAACCUUACCCGGGCUUGAAUUGCAGAGGAAGGAUUUAGAGAUA